UCAAUUAUUUANUAGCCUCUGGCUAUAGGAAAUUGUUAGUGGCAGACGGGUGAGUAAUGCGUAGGAAUCUACCUAGUAGUACGGAACAGCCAUUAGAAAUGGUGGGUAAUACUGUAUAAUCCCCGAGGGGGAAAGAUUUAUCGCUAUUAGAUGAGCCUACGUUAGAUUAGCUAGUUGGUGAGGUAAUGGCUUACCAAGGCUAUGAUCUAUAGCUGGUCUGAGAGGACGAUCAGCCACACUGGAACUGAGAUACGGUCCAGACUCCUACGGGAGGCAGCAGUGGGGAAUAUUGGACAAUGGGCGAAAGCCUGAUCCAGCUAUGCCGCGUGAGUGAAGAAGGCCUUCGGGUUGUAAAACUCUUUCAAUAGGGAAGAUAAUGACGGUACCUAUAA
Molecule: ribosomal RNA, 392 nt
Filed under: uncultured Ehrlichia sp.
Lineage: Bacteria; Pseudomonadati; Pseudomonadota; Alphaproteobacteria; Rickettsiales; Anaplasmataceae
Description: bacterial SSU rRNA
Rfam family: Bacterial small subunit ribosomal RNA
Source: RNAcentral